GAUAAACGCUGGCGGCGCACAUAAGACAUGCAAGUUGAACGGACUUAAUCGAAAUAUUUAUAUUUUGAAGCGGUUAGUGGCGGACUGGUGAGUAACGCGUAAGGAACCUGCCUAUUAGAGGGGAAUAACAGUGAGAAAUCAUUGCUAAUACCGCAUAUGCCAUAGAUAUCACAUGAUAACAGUGGGAAAGGAGCAAUCCGCUAAUAGAUGGCCUUGCGUCUGAUUAGAUAGUUGGUGGGGUAACGGCCUACCAAGUCGACGAUCAGUAGCCGGACUGAGAGGUGGAGAGGCCACCGUGGUACUGCGACACGGCCCAAACUCUGGCGGGAGGCAGCAGGUGGGAUCAUUCACGAAUGGGAGAAGGCGUGAUGGAGCAACGUCGCUUGGGUGAAGAAGGGCUUAGGAUCGUAAAACCCUGUUGUGAGAGACGAAAGUGCGUGAGACUAACUGUUACCGUCUCGCCGGUAUCGAAACAGAAAGCCACGGCUAACUACGUG
This 497-nucleotide ribosomal RNA is filed under the name uncultured bacterium. Its description in RNAcentral is "partial 16S ribosomal RNA". It matches the Rfam family "Bacterial small subunit ribosomal RNA", at positions 28 to 507 of the family's 1533-position model. The record is from RNAcentral.